AUGAAGGACGUUACUAACGACGAUAUGCUUUGGGGAGCUGUAAGUAAGCUUUGAUCCAGAGAUUUCCGAAUGGGGAAACCCAGCAUGAGUUAUGUCAUGUUAUCGAUAUGUGAAUACAUAGCAUAUCAGAAGGCACACCCGGAGAACUGAAACAUCUUAGUACCCGGAGGAAGAGAAAGAAAAUUCGAUUCCCUUAGUAGCGGCGAGCGAAACGGGAAGAGCCCAAACCAACAAGCUUGCUUGUUGGGGUUGUAGGACACUCUAUACGGAGUUACAAAGGACGACAUUAGACGAAUCAUCUGGAAAGAUGAAUCAAAGAAGGUAAUAAUCCUGUAGUCGAAAAUGUUGUCUCUCUUGAGUGGAUCCUGAGUACGACGGAGCACGUGAAAUUCCGUCGGAAUCUGGGAGGACCAUCUCCUAAGGCUAAAUACUCUCUAGUGACCGAUAGUGAACCAGUACCGUGAGGGAAAGGUGAAAAGCACCCCGGAAGGGGAGUGAAAUAGAACCUGAAACCGUGUGCUUACAAGUAGUCAGAGCCCGUUAAUGGGUGAUGGCGUGCCUUUUGUAGAAUGAACCGGCGAGUUACGAUUUGAUGCAAGGUUAAGCAGUAAAUGUGGAGCCGUAGCGAAAGCGAGUCUGAAUAGGGCGUUUAGUAUUUGGUCGUAGACCCGAAACCAGGUGAUCUACCCUUGGUCAGGUUGAAGUUCAGGUAACACUGAAUGGAGGACCGAACCGACUUACGUUGAAAAGUGAGCGGAUGAACUGAGGGUAGCGGAGAAAUUCCAAUCGAACCUGGAGAUAGCUGGUUCUCUCCGAAAUAGCUUUAGGGCUAGCCUCAAGUGAUGAUUAUUGGAGGUAGAGCACUGUUUGGACGAGGGGCCCCUCUCGGGUUACCGAAUUCAGACAAACUCCGAAUGCCAAUUAAUUUAACUUGGGAGUCAGAACAUGGGUGAUAAGGUCCGUGUUCGAAAGGGAAACAGCCCAGACCACCAGCUAAGGUCCCAAAAUAUAUGUUAAGUGGAAAAGGAUGUGGCGUUGCCCAGACAACUAGGAUGUUGGCUUAGAAGCAGCCAUCAUUUAAAGAGUGCGUAAUAGCUCACUAGUCGAGUGACACUGCGCCGAAAAUGUACCGGGGCUAAACAUAUUACCGAAGCUGUGGAUUGUCCUUUGGACAAUGGUAGGAGAGCGUUCUAAGGGCGUUGAAGCAUGAUCGUAAGGACAUGUGGAGCGCUUAGAAGUGAGAAUGCCGGUGUGAGUAGCGAAAGACGGGUGAGAAUCCCGUCCACCGAUUGACUAAGGUUUCCAGAGGAAGGCUCGUCCGCUCUGGGUUAGUCGGGUCCUAAGCUGAGGCCGACAGGCGUAGGCGAUGGAUAACAGGUUGAUAUUCCUGUACCACCUAUAAUCGUUUUAAUCGAUGGGGGGACGCAGUAGGAUAGGCGAAGCGUGCGAUUGGAUUGCACGUCUAAGCAGUAAGGCUGAGUAUUAGGCAAAUCCGGUACUCAUUAAGGCUGAGCUGUGAUGGGGAGAAGACAUAGAGUCUUCGAGUCGUUGAUUUCACACUGCCGAGAAAAGCCUCUAGAUAGAAAAUAGGUGCCCGUACCGCAAACCGACACAGGUAGUCAAGAUGAGAAUUCUAAGGUGAGCGAGCGAACUCUCGUUAAGGAACUCGGCAAAAUGACCCCGUAACUUCGGGAGAAGGGGUGCUCUUUAGGGUUAACGCCCAGAAGAGCCGCAGUGAAUAGGCCCAAGCGACUGUUUAUCAAAAACACAGGUCUCUGCUAAACCGUAAGGUGAUGUAUAGGGGCUGACGCCUGCCCGGUGCUGGAAGGUUAAGAGGAGUGGUUAGCUUCUGCGAAGCUACGAAUCGAAGCCCCAGUAAACGGCGGCCGUAACUAUAACGGUCCUAAGGUAGCGAAAUUCCUUGUCGGGUAAGUUCCGACCCGCACGAAAGGCGUAACGAUUUGGGCACUGUCUCAACGAGAGACUCGGUGAAAUCAUAGUACCUGUGAAGAUGCAGGUUACCCGCGACAGGACGGAAAGACCCCGUGGAGCUUUACUGUAGCCUGAUAUUGAAAUUCGGCACAGCUUGUACAGGAUAGGUAGGAGCCUUUGAAACGUGAGCGCUAGCUUACGUGGAGGCGCUGGUGGGAUACUACCCUAGCUGUGUUGGCUUUCUAACCCGCACCACUUAUCGUGGUGGGAGACAGUGUCA
This 2212-nucleotide ribosomal RNA is filed under the name Staphylococcus aureus. RNAcentral describes it as "partial 23S ribosomal RNA". It matches the Rfam family "Bacterial large subunit ribosomal RNA", at positions 49 to 2259 of the family's 2925-position model. Lineage: Bacteria; Bacillati; Bacillota; Bacilli; Caryophanales; Staphylococcaceae. The record is from RNAcentral.